Molecule: transfer RNA, 73 nt
Filed under: Heniochus diphreutes (false moorish idol)
Lineage: Eukaryota; Metazoa; Chordata; Actinopteri; Chaetodontiformes; Chaetodontidae
Description: tRNA-Asn
Source: RNAcentral
UGGACGGAUGCUCGUUGGUUUGGGCGUUUAGCUGUUAACUAAAAGUUUGUAGGAUCGAGGCCUACUCGUCCAG